AAAUUGAAGAGUUUGAUCAUGGCUCAGAUUGAACGCUGGCGGCAGGCCUAACACAUGCAAGUCGAACGGUAACAGGAAGCAGCUUGCUGCUUCGCUGACGAGUGGCGGACGGGUGAGUAAUGUCUGGGAAACUGCCUGAUGGAGGGGGAUAACUACUGGAAACGGUAGCUAAUACCGCAUAACGUCGCAAGACCAAAGAGGGGGACCUUCGGGCCUCUUGCCAUCGGAUGUGCCCAGAUGGGAUUAGCUUGUUGGUGGGGUAACGGCUCACCAAGGCGACGAUCCCUAGCUGGUCUGAGAGGAUGACCAGCCACACUGGAACUGAG
Molecule: ribosomal RNA, 326 nt
Filed under: Escherichia coli
Lineage: Bacteria; Pseudomonadati; Pseudomonadota; Gammaproteobacteria; Enterobacterales; Enterobacteriaceae
Also listed under: 2 other names
Description: bacterial SSU rRNA
Rfam family: Bacterial small subunit ribosomal RNA
Source: RNAcentral